GCGGUCGUGGCGGAACUGGCAGACGCGCUAGAUUCAGGUUCUAGUGCCCGCAAGGGUGUGGAGGUUCAAGUCCUCUCGACCGCACCA
Molecule: transfer RNA, 87 nt
Filed under: Gracilibacteraceae bacterium
Lineage: Bacteria; Bacillati; Bacillota; Clostridia; Eubacteriales; Gracilibacteraceae
Description: tRNA-Leu
Rfam family: tRNA
About the family: Transfer RNA (tRNA) molecules are approximately 80 nucleotides in length.
Source: RNAcentral